This 253-nucleotide ribosomal RNA is filed under the name uncultured bacterium. Its description in RNAcentral is "partial 16S ribosomal RNA". It matches the Rfam family "Bacterial small subunit ribosomal RNA", at positions 524 to 776 of the family's 1533-position model. The record is from RNAcentral.
UACGUAUGGUGCAAGCGUUAUCCGGAUUUACUGGGCGUAAAGGGAGCGCAGGCGGCGCGCCAAGUCUGAUGUGAAACCCCGGGGCUCAACCCCGGGCAUGCAUUGGAAACUGGCGGGCUGGAGUGCCGGAGAGGUAAGCGGAAUUCCUAGUGUAGCGAUGAAAUGCGUAGAUAUUAGGAGGAACACCAGUGGCGAAGGCGGCUUACUGGACGGCAACUGACGCUGAGGCUCGAAAGCGUGGGGAGCAAACAGG